Long non-coding RNA from Anser brachyrhynchus (Pink-footed goose), 1923 nucleotides. The record is from Ensembl. Lineage: Eukaryota; Metazoa; Chordata; Aves; Anseriformes; Anatidae.
AAUGCUCUUUUGAACACAUCACUUCCCUGUACCCAUGGGACAAAGGCAACAGGAAGGGCUGCCACUCACAGGCCACACCUAUUCCUUAGUGAAGGAGAUCUGAGCAAAGGAGUACAAAUGCUUUGCACCCUGCCAGGCUUCAGGCAAUGUAGCACCUUUGUAGUCAGCCCAUGGGACUCUUUUGGAGGCUGUGCCUGGCAGCAAGGGGGAGAGAGAUCCUUAUUACUACUCUGAAUGCAACACGUUGUCUCAAAACCAUCUAUAGAGCUCCAGGCCCAGAGAUGUUCCCCUACCACAGAGGCUUACUGGUGUUUCGCAGGGUCCUGGUGGCGAAUGCAGCUGCCUCCCCUGCAGAGAGGCUGAGCCUGGUCGGAGCAAGAAGCUCGGCUGCACCGCUCACCUGCAGGAGAAGGACCCAUCACUCCGUGCUGGUACCGUUGUCAGCAGUGCUCUUGCCGAUUGCAAGACUGGUGGAAGCAUCAAAGGGGUGCCCUUGGAAUGUGUGCCUAAUGAUGAUCAAUGAAAAUAGAAGCCCUGUUGCAGCGAGACUCAUGAGGUCCUGCUCACAGCUGGCACACAGAGGCAUGGCUGUAAAAAGAAGAUGCUGGGCAUCAGGACUAAUUGUCCCACCAGAUUCCUCCUCACCUUGGAAAACCCUUGUCUCCUCCCAGCAGGGGAGAUGGGCCGCCUGUCCUGGUGUGGAUACUGGUAUGCCAGCCAGAUGCUCUGCGAGCAGCACAUGUUUCUCCAUUUAUCUUACCUUGUCGUGGAAGCCAGGCUUACCCACCACACUCAGCACUGCUGCCUGGCUCAGGCAGCAGGAGGGAGGAUGUGUGGGCCAGGAAAGUAUUAUUAAAACUGCUCCAUCACUGGCUGUAAUGGGAGCGUCUGUAUUUUCUCCCUCGCCCGUAUCCCUGACAUGACAUAAUGCCUGCCCUCACCAAGACGCUAUAACACCGAGGUAAUUGAAACAUAACUCACCGUAAAUUACAGACCGUUGUUCCAGGCAGGGCCCUGGCCAUGCUUCCUGGAGCUCAUUCCAACUGGAAGCUAAACAUUGCUUUAAAAGGGAUGCUUAAGCAAAACAAAGCCAUUUAAAGAGCAACACAAACAUGGGGAGGGAGGGGAGCACGGGGCUUGGGCUCUCCUGGAAAUGUGGGCUCCUGCCUGUGCAGCACCAGGUGCUUCUGGUGGCAUUUCUUUGGUCUGUGGGUACUGAGCAGGUGCACCAGGGAUGAGGUGUUAUUUCUGAAGCAGGCACCAGCACACUGGAAGCCUCCCUGUCCUCAGAGAGGCUGAGGACAGAGUAGGCCAUAGGAAGAACUUCUUAACUAAAAGGUUUGCUUGACAGGGCCAAGGCUUUGAUGGGAAGCUUGCCAAGUCACCGUGCCCUAGUGCCUACCAGAGGUGUGACAACCUAAGGCUCUGCCUAUCUUUGUGGGAUCCGAGUUCUUCCAUUUCAAAUGCGUGACACCUAAAUACAAGACGUAAAUCAAUGUGGGCUGCAGGGCCCUCAACACUGCAGGAGACCACACACACAUUCAUAAAACUAGCACCAGACAGAAGCAGCUCAACUGUUUGCUGACCCUGAGACCUGAAGGAUCUUCAGCUGUCGAAAGCUCACAGUUUGGUUGCAGGUAUCACACUUGUCUGAUGAAUAACUCACUUCACUUUCCUCCAUGCCUCAGUUUCCCCUUCCACAACAGAGGGGUAAAAAUACCAGCCAUCUUUGUUGAGCACCCUGUGAUACAGUGAGUUAAAAGGAUAUGAAAGUGAAGCAGGGAUAAUUACCCCACUGGUGUUGAUGGAGGCAUGAGCUGCUAGGAAACAUCAUUUUUUAGUCAGAAGGCAGCCCUGGAAUUCAGGACCCCUGGGCUUUGGUUUUGACUCCUGCUCUAGCAGGCUCUGUGCCCUCCACACUGA